GCUAAAAAUCUAGCCACACCCAAUCAAAUGACACUUAAAAAUUACGUUUAUUUAAUUAAAACAUUUUAACAGUUUAGUAAAGGCGAUUGAAAAAUUCUUAUGAGCUAUAUAUAAAGUACCGCAAGGGAAUAAUGAAAUAAAAAUGAAAUAGCUAUUAAGCACAAUAAAGUAAAGACUAACUCUUGUACCUUUUGCAUCAUGGUUUAACAAGUCUAAUCAAGCAAAAAGAUCUUAAGUUUGACCCCCCGAAACUAAGUGAGCUACUUCAAGGCAGCCCAAAGAGCAAACCCGUCUCUGUCGCAAAAGAGUGGGAAGACCUUCAAGUAGAGGUGAUAGACCUAACGAACUUAGUGAUAGCUGGUUGCUCAGGAAAAGGAUUUUAGUCCCGCCUAAAAGUUUAUUGUUACCUAAAAACUCAAUAUUAACUUUAGAGUAAUUCAAAUAAGGUACAGCCUAUUUGAAACAGGAUACAACCUUCACUAAUGGGUAAUUAAAAUAAUUUAACAACCAAGUAGGCCUAAAAGCAGCCACCUUUUUAAUAGCGUCAAAGCUUAAUUGUUUUAUUAUUAAAUUUCUUCAUCAAAUAUUAACCCUUUAAUAGUACUGAGCACUUCUAUAUUUUUAUAGAAUUUUUUAUGUUAAAACUAGUAACAAGAACAAGACCUUCUCUAACAAUGCAUAUGUAAAUCAGAAAGGACACACCACUGCUAAUUAACAUGCCUGAGUAUAAAGUAGUAACCCAACAAGAAAAUUCAACUAAAUCUCAUGUUAACCUAACACAAGAGCAUUACAAGAAGAUUAAAAGAAAAAGAAGGAACUCGGCAAAUAUUAACCCCGCCUGUUUACCAAAAACAUCGCCUCUUGACUAACAUAAGAGGUCCAGCCUGCCCAGUGAUAUAAUUCAACGGCCGCGGUAUCCUAACCGUGCGAAGGUAGCGUAAUCACUUGCCCUUUAAAUAAGGGCUAGUAUGAAUGGCAUCACGAAGGUUAUACUGUCUCCUUUCUCUAAUCAGUGAAACUAAUCUCCCCGUGAAGAAGCGGGGAUGAACUUAUAAGACGAGAAGACCCUAUGGAGCUUUAAACAAAUAACAAUUGCUAUAAAUAUCCAAAUUUCAGAAUUAUAAAAUUUAUUUUUAGCAAUUUGAUUACUAGUUUUAGGUUGGGGUGACCGCGGAGUAAAAAUUAACCUCCACAUUGAAAGAAAUACUUUCUAAACAAAAAACUACAACUUUAUGUAUCAAUAAAUUGACAUCAAUUGACCCAAUAUUUUUGAUCAACGAACCAAGUUACCCUAGGGAUAACAGCGCAAUCUACUUCAAGAGCCCAUAUCGACAAGUAGGUUUACGACCUCGAUGUUGGAUCAGGGUACCCCAGUGGUGCAGCCGCUACUAACGGUUCGUUUGUUCAACGAUUAAAACCCUACGUGAUCUGAGUUCAGACCGGAGAAAUCCAGGUCAGUUUCUAUCUAUAAAGAGUUUAUUCUAGUACGAAAGGACCGAAAAAACAUGGCCUAUGUUUAAUACAAGCCAUAAUUUAAUUUAUGUUAAAAACUCAAUAAAUUAUUAAUCUAACAUUUAACUUAAGAUAAAAGUA
Molecule: ribosomal RNA, 1593 nt
Filed under: Rhinoderma darwinii
Lineage: Eukaryota; Metazoa; Chordata; Amphibia; Anura; Rhinodermatidae
Description: 16S ribosomal RNA
Rfam family: Bacterial large subunit ribosomal RNA
Source: RNAcentral